RNAcentral lists this transfer RNA (95 nucleotides) under Cupriavidus metallidurans. Its description in RNAcentral is "tRNA-Asp". Lineage: Bacteria; Pseudomonadati; Pseudomonadota; Betaproteobacteria; Burkholderiales; Burkholderiaceae. The record is from RNAcentral.
ACGCAGAUGGUGGCCAAGGGACACGACUUCCAGCGUGUCACGCUGGUGGGCAUCGUCCACCCUGAUGCCGCCAUGUUCAGUCACGAUUUCCGCGC